CGGCACUGUCUUUGAACCUGGUGGGUCUUUUCUGUGACCUUCUUGGCCAAGCUACAGUGCCAGAUCAAAUGUAAGCUUGUUCAUAACUGGGGCUUCCUGGUAAUAUCCCCAGGUUGCCUUUUUAAAUGCAGGCUACAUUC
Small nucleolar RNA from Cyprinodon variegatus (sheepshead minnow), 140 nucleotides. The record is from Ensembl. Lineage: Eukaryota; Metazoa; Chordata; Actinopteri; Cyprinodontiformes; Cyprinodontidae.